RNAcentral lists this ribosomal RNA (630 nucleotides) under uncultured bacterium. RNAcentral describes it as "bacterial SSU rRNA". The stretch from base 1 to 545 matches the Rfam family "Bacterial small subunit ribosomal RNA", at positions 338 to 873 of the family's 1533-position model. The record is from RNAcentral.
CCUACGGGAGGCAGCAGUAAGGAAUAUUGGUCAAUGGGCGCAAGCCUGAACCAGCCAUGCCGCGUGCAGGAAGACGGCCCUAUGGGUUGUAAACUGCUUUUGAACAAGAGAAAACCUCGGUACGUGUACCGAGCUGAUAGUAUUGUUAGAAUAAGCAUCGGCUAACUUCGUGCCAGCAGCCGCGGUAAGACGAAGGAUGCAAGCGUUAUCCGGAUUCAUUGGGUUUAAAGGGUGCGUAGGCGGCCUGAUAAGUCAGUGGUGAAAUCUCUCAGCUUAACUGAGAAACUGCCAUUGAUACUGUCGGGCUUGAGUACAGAUGAUGUGGGCGGAAUAUGACAUGUAGUGGUGAAAUACUUAGAUAUGUCAUAGAACACCGAUUGCGAAAGGCAGCUCACAAAAACUGUAAACUGACGCUGAGGCACGAAAAGUGCGGGGAUCAAAACAGGAUUAGAUACCCUGGUAGUCCGCACCGUAAAACGAUGAUUACUCGUUGUUGGCAAUAUGACCGUCAGCGACCAAAGCGAAAAGCGAAGAAGUAAUACACCUACGGAGGACGACCGGCGACGACGAAACGAACAAANAAGAAGUUAGAGACGNGAGAGAGCGACGGACGACGACAGGGAGGAGGAG